AGGAUCAUUACCGAACCGUCGACACGAGUUGUYGCUGGCCCUCAAAAGGGGCACGUGCACGCUCUGUUUACACAUCCACUCACACCUGUGCACCCUCUGUAGUUCUGUGGCCUUGGGGACUCUGUCCCCUUGCYGUGGUCCUACGUCUUUACACACACRCCGUAAUAAAGUCUUAUGGAAUGUAUGCCGCGUUUAACGCAAUACRAUACAACUUUCAGCAACGGAUCUCUUGGCUCUCGCAUCGAUGAAGAACGCAGCGAAAUGCGAUAAGUAAUGUGAAUUGCAGAAUUCAGUGAAUCAUCGAAUCUUUGAACGCACCUUGCGCCCUUUGGCUAUUCCGAAGGGCAUGCCUGUUUGAGUAUCAUGAACACCUCAACUCUCAUGGUCCGCCAUGAUGAGCUUGGACUUUGGGGGUCUUGCUGGCCUAGUGUCGGCUCCUCUCAAAUGGAUCAGCUUGCCAGUGUCUGGUGGCRUCACGGGUGUGAUAACUAUCUACGCUUGUGGUU
RNAcentral lists this ribosomal RNA (506 nucleotides) under uncultured Thelephoraceae. RNAcentral's name for it is "eukaryotic LSU rRNA". The stretch from base 210 to 364 matches the Rfam family "5.8S ribosomal RNA". The record is from RNAcentral. Lineage: Eukaryota; Fungi; Basidiomycota; Agaricomycetes; Thelephorales; Thelephoraceae.